Molecule: long non-coding RNA, 2003 nt
Organism: Clupea harengus (Atlantic herring)
Lineage: Eukaryota; Metazoa; Chordata; Actinopteri; Clupeiformes; Clupeidae
Source: Ensembl
CUGAAGUCUUGAGUGUUUCCUGACAUGCUCAUGGUGGGAAUAAAGUAUGGCACACGUCAGCCACACAUAAGGACACAGCCCAUGUAUCAACACAUCUAGAAACUUUUGGCAACACUAAUAUCGAAGCUUUAUUACUACAACACUACAAGACUACUUUCUGUAUUUCCAAUGUACUGUAGUUUAGUAAUCCAUGUUUUUUCUUUAGAUUUCACAUCAUUAGAUUUGUAGGGUGCCAGAGCAGUGUUUGUAGAGGCCUGACUUGUUUAUGCUCUUAUCUGCUUUGCCACUGGAGGAGGCGUGGCUAUCUCUAAGUCCAACCGCUGGGAGUGGUUGAGUGUGGAGAACAAAACGAGAGCCACACCGACAGCCAGAAACAACAGAAGAGGUCUUUGAAAGCAGCACAUUCAGGCUUCAAUCUGACCUCGAAGACACGAGCAAACCUGCUUCUGUUUAUGAGUCACACAAUAGUGCGCUGACCUGGCAGAUCUACUUAUCCACAUGACCCUUGACCCCUGACCCUGGGUCACAUCUGCUUGAUUAUGACCUCAAAUGUGACCAGAGCUUCAGGGCCGCCCCAGGACAGCGUGGCAUCGUUGACUGACCUGUGAAUGUUGGGCCAGGACAAUCUGCAGCAGUGUGUCAGGUGUCAUCAUCCAUUGAGGAAACCAGGGCUGAGGUUACAGUUGUGCAGGACGUGGUGGACAGCACAGACAGAGAGGCGCGUUCUUUACUGGACCAGAUGGGUGGCUCACUGAGAGAUGGAGUGUUUGAGGUUCAGUGUGAACUCAUAAACAGGAGAGAAGAGGCCUCUCUGAAAGCUCUGAUAGAUGGUCUUCAGAAAGGAAAGCCCCCGGUGAUCAGUGGAAUGGAGAGGAGUCAGGUUCUGCAAGAACACAGAGUGACCGAGGACCAGGUGACCUGCCUGCUCCACAUGGUGAGGAGGAAAGGGGAACGGGCCUGUGAGAUAUUCCUCUACGGUGAGCUUGGUUUUGAAACAACUCUGUGAUCGAUGAGAGUCCAGUUUAGUGGCCGACCAGAACCGUUGGUUCUAACGUAUGGUUGGGAUAUCGUUGUGUGAAUGUGAUGUGAACCGGAUGCCACAAAAGAUGUGCAUUAAAUGCUGUUCUAAACCAAAUGGAGCUGUGUCUUUGUUUAAGCUGAGUGCCACAAGUGGUGCUAUAGUCUACUUUGAGGAAUGACAGCUCAAUCACUAGCUGUCCAACCAGUUUGUUUUAAGAUGUUGCCUUUUCGAAAUCAUCUGGUUGACACAUUUUUUUUUUUUUUACAUAAUGCCACAGGGUAGUGAGCACAAGUUCAUAGUGCCAAACACGCAUGCUCACUGCACUGUCCUCACUUAGUGUGAGAUUAACACGCAUGCUCACUGCACUGUCCUCACUUAGUGUGAGAUUAACACGCAUGCUCACUGCACUAAUCAUAGUGUGUUCACAUAGCCUACUCAGUACAACGAUUAGUAUUAUAUCACACUAAGGACAGCAUGUGUGGUACUUUCACUGUACACAGUGGUGUAGAUUUAAGCAAUGUUUACCCAGUUCCAUUGACUGUAUUUUAUUACUUUUACUUUGUUUAUAUUUGCUGUGUAAGCCUAUAUUUAUUAUAUAGACAUUGUUGCUUCACCUUACACAAUAUAUUAUUUUAUAUCAUGUUGUUUCUCCUUUUUUACAAAAAACCCAGAGAACACCCAGAUGUCUCUGCUACGGUUUCUUUGCUGGGUGUCAGAUAGGCUUCACACACAUGGCAUUAUUCCCUUGAUUUCAACACUAAUGUCACAUCUUUCUUAAAGCAUAGGCCUAUAUUUCACAGCACUUCAAGAGAGAUUCCUUUUAUACAAUUUCAUGAAUUGAUUCAAAAUAGUUAUAAUAAUAAUAAUAAUAAUACUUUAACUUUAUAUAGCGCUUUUCUAGGUGCUCAAAGACGCUUUACAUAGGGCGAAGAAAAACAAAACAAAGAGAACACAAAAGAGCAAACAAACAAACAAACAGAAC